Long non-coding RNA from Zingiber officinale, 786 nucleotides. RefSeq lists it as uncharacterized. The record is from RefSeq and is a predicted model, not a curated record. The transcript is spliced from 5 exons. NCBI's taxonomy places the organism in Eukaryota, Viridiplantae, Streptophyta, Magnoliopsida, Zingiberales, Zingiberaceae.
GUAGACGAAGGCGCUCCAUGACUCCGGGAUCCGCUGCUGGACUUGGGAUCCGGGGCUUAAGGUGAAAUCGAGGUACAUUGUCGGAGUCUGGGUGUAGACCGGCGACUGGACGCCGAAGGAUUCUCCGGCAAUGAUGCGGACGGCGCAGCAGGCAUUUCUGAGUGAAUAAUUCCUUUACCAGCAGUCAUCCACUGAGGAAAUUAGAAGUCAUGACCCAUCAAAUGCAGUAUGGAGGUGAACUGAUGAAAUAUUAUUAUUCAAUAAGCUCGAGGAGUGAUGAUCAUCAAUAGUACCUGCAGAUCUCCAGCUCUGAUGGUGCCUUUAUGCCCUGCAAAAUCCUGGUCUUACAUCGCUUUUUCUUGAAUAAACAAGUAGUUACCAUCGGGAACAAAUGGACAGCAACUUUAUUAAAAAACCACUAGAAGAUGGCUGGAUUUUGAUGUUAAAAAAAUAAAAAAAUCGAUAUUUCUUAUCCUCUAGGAAGGCUAGCUUGGAAAGAUUGAUUGACUAAAAUUUCAGGUGGAAUCUUUUGAGAAUUUUCUUGAAGUACAUCUCUUGUAAAAGAGACGAAUUGACAAGACGUUAGACAACUGAAUCUCCUUCUGCCAUAUUAUGCAUUGUGUGCAUGACUAGGUUGAAUUUGAUGCAUCCAGCUUCCCACAACAACAAUGUGGAGGAUGACGUUGACAGUUCUGAAAGAAACAGGAAUUUAUCGAUUAAGUUUCAAAAUUUUUUAAAUCAAGACCAUAUUUUUUUAUUUCAGCAAUUGACCAACAGUUGAAAUUA